UCCCCAUCCCCGAUUCCUACCUGCCGCCCCCGACUACCCCAGAGGACCGAGCACCCACCCGGGCACCCACCUCGACGGCGCCCCCAAUCCCCGCCCCCAGCCCUCACCGCCGCCCGGCUGCUGGUCCCCGCCCCGAUCCGCGUCGACUCCAGGCUAGGCCACCACCGCCCGGCGCCACGGAGCGCGUCAGGCGGCCAGCCCCCUCCCCGCGCCGGCGCGCGCACGGCCCACGACCGUCCCUGCGGCCUCCGCCUCCCGCCUCUCCCCUUCCACGGAGGCCGGCGCUGAUGCAUCCCCGGUGCCACCAACGACGCCCGUAGGGGCUCCGUGCUUCCGCGGGGCUAGUGGCACACCCAAUUUUAGUCUUCGCCCACGCCCAGGCCUCAUCCAGAUGCUCUGCACGGCUUCUCAAGCAUGAUGCUUCUCCAGCUCGACGCAUAGCCACCCCGCCCCGCCAGCCUGAUGCACGGCCGCCCGCACUGCCGGGCACCUUCCUCGACGGGCCGCCCGCGCCCCGAGUCGGGGACACAUGGCCGCCCCGCUGCUGUUCACCUUCCCCGACUGAGCAGGCUGCCACCGCCAGCACCAGCUCAGGGAGUUGAAAUAGCAAAAGGCUUCACAUUUUUGCUCUCUGCUGUGGGAGAUUCAAGCUACACAGCCAGCCCUUGUGAAACAUGCUCAAGUUGAGGUGUUCUGUUUCUAAAUCUGAAUAGUCUGAUAAGGUGUUCUGUUUCUAAAUAUGAAUAGUUUGGUACGGUGUUCUGUGUGGAACCUGAGUCCAGUGACAAUGAAUCUGUUUCUAAAUGUGACGUUGUUCUUGAAAUCUCUUCUAUGUCUUGAAAAGUGUGUCUAUGUCUGGUAUUUAAUAUUAUAAAGUGUGCAUAUGUUAAUUUAGAAAUCAUCUCUUGCUAUUUUUGUCUGUGCUAUUUAGAAUAGGAUCCAAUUCAGUUCAAUUUAUGGCCACUCUUCGAUUCUAAAUUAUGAAAGAUCAUCUUCUCACUACAAGAAAGAUGUUUGAGGCUGUCAACAUGUUUUGUAAGAGAGUUGUGUCCUUUCACAGUAGUUUUUUUUUCUUUAGUUGAUGAUUGUAUCUUAAUUUUGUCAAUGAUGAUGGCCUUCAAUAAUUUAACAACUUGAUGUUUUUAUAGUUCUCAUUUUUGCUCUUUUCAGGUAAUCUUUGGAUGAAAGCUCUGCAUAAUUCUAGAUUGCUACUUUCAAAACAAGUAGACUGUGGAGGAUUCCCAAUGAAGUAAAAAAGCAAUAUUUUGGCCCCGUGGCUUCCUACAUUUACGUGACUUCCUAUAUUUAUGUGCCCAUGUUUCUAUGUCUAGCAAACUAGGAUAUGUAUUUGUGCUAUAUGUGAAUAUUAUCAGUGACAACUUGUGAAUAUUUUGAUCUGGUAUUUUAAAAUGAUACGGGCUUCAUGGUCCGUUAUUUGUGCUAUAUGUGAUGAUUUGUGCUA
Long non-coding RNA from Panicum virgatum (switchgrass), 1462 nucleotides. RefSeq lists it as uncharacterized. NCBI's taxonomy places the organism in Eukaryota, Viridiplantae, Streptophyta, Magnoliopsida, Poales, Poaceae. The record is from RefSeq and is a predicted model, not a curated record. The transcript has 3 exons.